GGGUUCUGCGUAGAGCACUGG
This 21-nucleotide microRNA is filed under the name Gadus morhua (Atlantic cod). RNAcentral's name for it is "gmo-miR-11239-3p". The record is from miRBase by way of RNAcentral. Lineage: Eukaryota; Metazoa; Chordata; Actinopteri; Gadiformes; Gadidae.